This is a long non-coding RNA of Hipposideros armiger (great roundleaf bat), 2531 nucleotides long. RefSeq lists it as uncharacterized. Lineage: Eukaryota; Metazoa; Chordata; Mammalia; Chiroptera; Hipposideridae. The record is from RefSeq and is a predicted model, not a curated record. The transcript has 6 exons.
CCACCCCCUGGGAACCUGGAGCCUGAGCAGGAGAAAGGGAGUGGCUAGGUCCCCCAGAGCACCAGGCACCGAGAGCUGGGUGCCUUCUUCCAUCCAUCUCCCCAAAGAGAAGGGGGAAUUGGCCUGGACCCCAACGGCGCCUGCCCACACCUGGUACCUUCCUUGCUGGCAAGAGAGUCCAGAGCUGGCACCAGCCACAGUGGGGACAAAGCCACCCGGCAGCUACUGAAGCCACAGGGAGCUGAAGGCUGAGCCCCUGGGCGUGCUUCCUCUGCUCACUGCAAACCCCAGGCCGAAGCCCCUCCCUGACCAUACUGCCAGAUCUACAAACCAGGAACGCGGUCCUGGGUCCCAGCAGCUCUCUUCCUGCCACUGGGAUAAGGGAGAUGCAGUCUCCCACAGCAUCAGUGUAAUACGAUAAGGGAUGUUUGACCUUGGGCCCACCUGGAAGCCUGCUUUUCCUGACCCCAUUCUGAGCAGGGAGCCUGCUGCAACAGUUGGCCCACCCGUUGCUCCAGGGUGUGACCUUGGUCUGCCCCCUCCGUCUCAGAAAGAGAAUGCCCAGAAAGGCCUUGAGCACCUGCUACCUCCAUCACUCCUGAGCUGAGGCCCCAACACCCCACUGAUGGGCACACAGCCCCCCUGUAACCUCUCCGCUGAUGCUCACCGGUGCAGUGUCUAUCAAGGAGCUGACAAUACCCAGGCAAUCACAGCACAUGUGCUGCAGGCUAGGCGAGGACAAGAGGGGAACCACAGGAACUCAGAGAAGAGGGGCCUUCUGGAGGAGGUGCUGCCGAAGCUGAGACCUGUAGGACAGGGGUGGCUUGCAGGCUACAGUGAUAAUCAUUCCAGUUCUGCUCUCCUUGUCCACCCUGCUGGUUGUCAGCUGCAUCUUAUGGAAAACAUGCCGCUGGUGGUCUCGGGUCAUCUACCCCACCCUGCAGUCCCCAGUCCACGUUCUGUUGGAUGUUAACUCAUCAACCCCUUGGGUCAAGGAAGCCCAUUCUGCAGCCCCUAUAACUGUGGCCCUGAGUGACUAUGGACCAAGGCUACCCUUGGACACACACUGUCGUCCACACUUCCCUGGGACCACCCCCUCCAGCCUGGUGGAGCCUCCACAGGGAACCUCACUAAGAAGCAAGAUAUCCACCUCCAGGGACUGGAUGAGAGCACUCCUGGCUUCACCCCAGCUGGGGCGUGGCUUACGAGUAUCACAUUACUCAGGACUUGCAGUCCUUAGAGUUUUCCACUUCUCAUGCAUUAAACACUCCCAUUGCCUGCACUUUCCUGAGGUCAUGGAGUUUCAGCUUAUCACAUGUUCUUGUGGGGGAACAUAUCCCUAAAGCCCCUGAUAGGCAAAGCUUGGCUGGCAUGGAAACUGCCAGGGCCCUGGACCCCUGCCCAGCCUGGAGCCCCCUUUCUCCAUCAUCUACUGCCUGAGCUCUGGGAUUCAGACGGGCAACGAAAUGAAGCAGUGAGUCUCACACAGCUAAUACAAAAGCCCAGAAUUUUCACCACUGCCCUAAGAUCUCAGGACCUCUGCUCUGUCUGCCAGCCACAGGCUAACAACUUCUUCCACCCAUCCAAUGAUACCGAAGUGUGUACCAUGUGCCAGGCAUGCCAGGUGCUGGGUUUAUAACAACAAAUGAGACCCAUACUAGCAAUCUAGUGGCUGGAACAGAACAAUGACAGAGUAUGAGAAGCACUUGGGUGGGGUACAGGAGUCUGUGCAGCAUAAAGGAGAGUCCACUAAACAGCCAGGAGAGGAUGGUUAAGGAAAGCUUCCAAGAAGUGGCUUCUAAACCGAGACCUGAAGGAUGACUAGGAAUUUGCUGGAAGCAAGGUGGGAGAGACAGUCCAGUCAGAGGGAACAUUAAGAGCAGUGUACGGGUUGGCAAACUUCCUGGUUUUAUAAAGUUUUAUUGAAACACAGUCAUGGUGAUACAUAGUGAUGUCAAUACAUAAAUACAUACAUUCACUUAUGUAUUGUCUCUGACUGCUUUCACUCUACACAGCAGAGUGAAACAGUUGUGACAGAAACGCUAGGGCUUGCAAAGCAUAAAAUACUACCUGGCCCUUGACAGGAAAAGUUUGCUGACUCCUAGAGGUCGAGAGCUUAUGCUGCCUUUUAGGGACACAGUGGCUAGGGGGUAGGGGCAGGAAAUGUGCACUAGGCAGUGCACAAUGAGUCCUUCUCCCCUAGCCAUAGUGGAUUGAUCCAGGAGUAGACACACCUGGUUUAAACUGACCUAAUCAGAUUCUCUCUUCCUAGUAAUUUGAAGUGUGGAACGAAAGACCCAGAAAUGGAGCCAAGUCACAUUAGUGUCUGUGAACCUCUCCUGCUGAGCCCCCAGUCUGGUUAAUCAACAAUUCCUUUGAUUCAGAAGACCCUUACAAUCAAUCCCCUGAAUUUCUAAUUUUCUUUUUUUUUUCAAAGUGCUAAGCAAGUACAGAGAGAUGCAAUAUCAAUAGAUUCAAAGAUGCAGUAUUUUUUAAAUUUUAGCUGAGUCAUCCAGCCACCUGUUGGCAGC